This 253-nucleotide ribosomal RNA is filed under the name uncultured bacterium. Its description in RNAcentral is "partial 16S ribosomal RNA". It matches the Rfam family "Bacterial small subunit ribosomal RNA", at positions 524 to 776 of the family's 1533-position model. The record is from RNAcentral.
GACGAACCGUCCUAACGUUGUUCGGAAUCACUGGGCUUAAAGGGCGCGUAGGCGGGUCAGCAAGUCUGGGGUGAAAUCUUUCGGCUUAACCGGAAAAGUGCCUUGGAUACUGCUGGUCUAGAGGGAGGUAGGGGCAUGUGGAACUUUCGGUGGAGCGGUGAAAUGCGUUGAUAUCGGAAGGAACGCCGGUGGCGAAAGCGACGUGCUGGAUCUCUUCUGACGCUGAGGCGCGAAAGCCAGGGGAGCAAACGGG